CCUACGGGAGGCAGCAGUGAGGAAUAUUGGUCAAUGGCCGUAAGGCUGAACCAGCCAAGUAGCGUGAGGGAAGACUGCCCUAUGGGUUGUAAACCUCUUUUAUGCGGGGAUAAAAUGUUCCACGUGUGGGCUUUUGUAUGUACCAUAUGAAUAAGGAUCGGCUAACUCCGUGCCAGCAGCCGCGGUAAUACGGAGGAUCCGAGCGUUAUCCGGAUUUAUUGGGUUUAAAGGGAGCGUAGGGGGAUUGUUAAGUUAGUUGUGAAAGUUUGCGGCUCAACCGUAAAAUUGCAGUUGAAACUGGCAGUCUUGAGUACAGUAGAGGUGGGCGGAAUUCGUGGUGUAGCGGUGAAAUGCUUAGAUAUCACGAAGAACUCCGAUUGCGAAGGCAGUUCACUGGACUGCAACUGACACUGAGGCUCGAAAGUGUGGGUAUCAAACAGGAUUAGAUACCCUUGUAGUC
This 460-nucleotide ribosomal RNA is filed under the name uncultured bacterium. Its description in RNAcentral is "partial 16S ribosomal RNA". It matches the Rfam family "Bacterial small subunit ribosomal RNA", at positions 338 to 795 of the family's 1533-position model. The record is from RNAcentral.